UACAGAGACCUCAAGCGUUAUCCGGAAUCAUUGGGCGUAAAGCGUACCGAUAGGUGGUUUAGAAAGUCAGAAGUGAAAUCUUAAAGCUCAACUUUGAGACUGUCUUUUGAAACUUCUAAACUAGAGGGGCAAAGAGGAAGCUGGAACGAACGGUGUAGUAGUGAAAUGCGUUGAUAUCGUUCGGAACACCAAUAGCGUAGGCAGGCUUCUGGGUGCCACCUGACACUGCUAGGACGAAAGCGUGGGGAGCGAAUGGG
Molecule: ribosomal RNA, 257 nt
Filed under: uncultured bacterium
Lineage: Bacteria
Description: partial 16S ribosomal RNA
Rfam family: Bacterial small subunit ribosomal RNA
Source: RNAcentral